GUUAUUUUAGUUUAAGAAAAACCUUACAUUUUCAAUGUAAAAAUAAGCAAUCGUUUAUUUAAUU
Molecule: transfer RNA, 64 nt
Filed under: Orchesella cincta
Lineage: Eukaryota; Metazoa; Arthropoda; Collembola; Entomobryomorpha; Orchesellidae
Description: tRNA-Glu
Source: RNAcentral